UACAGAGGUCUCAAGCGUUGUUCGGAUUCAUUGGGCGUAAAGGGUGCGUAGGCGGCGCGGUAAGUCGGGUGUGAAAUCUCGGAGCUUAACUCCGAAACUGCAUUCGAUACUGCCGUGCUUGAGGACUGGAGAGGAGACUGGAAUUUACGGUGUAGCGGUGAAAUGCGUAGAUAUCGUAAGGAAGACCAGUGGCGAAGGCGGCAUCCUGGACCGGUAUUGACGCUGAGGCGCGAAGGCCAGGGGAGCAAACGGG
RNAcentral lists this ribosomal RNA (253 nucleotides) under uncultured bacterium. RNAcentral describes it as "partial 16S ribosomal RNA". It matches the Rfam family "Bacterial small subunit ribosomal RNA", at positions 524 to 776 of the family's 1533-position model. The record is from RNAcentral.